AGCGAUUCCAUCCCCUGACGCACAGGCUGCCCUGUCCUCUCCUCCUCACCUUGGCAGCAAUUUUAACAGUUUGCUUUCAACAGAGAGGGUGAGGAAAAGCCACUGUGAGCAUUUGGACUCUUACCCAGUGCUUCCAGUAGUUUUGCUGCCUCAUCUUCAUCUUCUUGAUCAAUAGCCACUUGUUUUUUACAAACCCAGAAGUAGGAUAAUAAAGGCCACUCCAUGACGUCCAUGAGAAGCAGAGCAUAUUUGCCCCACUGCUGUGCCUUCAAACCCAACCCACAGCACUGAAGACCAUCUCAUGGUAGCCAGGAAGCCUUGCAUCCUCUCUGCUCUUUUGGAGCCUUUUGCAUUUUAAAGAAGUGACAGGCUUGACAUACAUGGCUGCCAUCCCUUUAAACCAUUAAACUGCUAUGGAUCUAGUUUAUUGCCCUUGAUUAUGAGUCCUCUCUCUUCACUGAGCUGUAAAUAAAGGCUUUUGACUUUAAACACAGCUCAGAUAUGUCAUGAUUGAAAACAGCCUGCUGCUCUCUCAACAUGUUUAUCUAAUGUCUGCAGGAGUAAGAACAAGGAGCAGGAGAGCAGAUGGUGCAGCUCUCAGUGCAGAGUAGUCUAUGUAUGCAAUAUGUAGACAUCCAGUAUUUUCUAAUGCAACACUCUAAUUAUUACGUAGAGGAUUUUAUUUUUAAACUGCAGCUUAAAUAAAAUGAUUGCUUCAGACCACACAGGCUCAAGUGCAGCUGGAGUUCUAGCAAACCUUUUCACCAGACAGGAGGGAGAAUCCCAAAUACACAGGCUAAGGUGAGCAGUAAUGUGGGACAAAGCAGCAGGGCAAUAAGCUACUGAGGGGAAAAGGGGUUUCCAGUACAACCUGUGACUGAAGAGUCUCCACAGGUUUCGUCUUUAGAAACAUACUGGAGUGGUGUGAGAGGGCUGGUGGGCUUUGAGAAGAGUAUCAGUUGA
This is a long non-coding RNA of Pezoporus occidentalis (night parrot), 963 nucleotides long. RefSeq lists it as uncharacterized. The record is from RefSeq and is a predicted model, not a curated record. Lineage: Eukaryota; Metazoa; Chordata; Aves; Psittaciformes; Psittacidae. The transcript is spliced from 3 exons.